AGGUGCCGGAACCGCGGCGGCGGAGCCCCGCGCGCCUGGACUUGGCGACUCCGGCUGCUGCGCGCGGUGUCUGCGCUCCCUCCCGGGGCUCCGAGUGCGUGCGCGGGGCUGUGCGAGCCUGACUUGACCUUCUCCUCCUCGGCGGUCCCUCUGGCCGGGUCAGCCGGGGAGGGGGUGGCGGGACCCCCGAGGGCCAGUCGGUGCCGGGCGCCCAGGAGGGCGAGGGGCGUGUGAGAAUCUAGGAACCGAGCUCGGCGAGGCCAGGGCUGAGUCCAGAAGAGGGCGGACCUUGCCUGGGCUUAUAGCAGAAGGGGGCCUGUCACAUGGUGUUGCACGUCAGAGCGCGGCCCGGGGAAAAGGGAAAGAAAGGCGAGAGAAUCGGCGUGCGGGAGGAGAAAGUUCACCCGCAGGAGGGGCAGCAGCGAGAGUUGGACACCGAACCCCGCUAUUUUUUUUUUUUUUUUUUUUUUUUUUGCCAAGGUCUCGGAUAUCCUGUAUCACGCCCUAGCCAGCGGCCAUCCGGACCUGGAGGCUGCACGAGUUCGAGCCCCCAGUCUGCUUCUCCGGAUUUAGCCCUCAGCCCUAACAUCAGAAGCGCUCCGGGGACACUUCGCUGGGUCCACUCGGUGGCCUAUGGGAGCCGUCCCGCUGGGGGACAACUACUCUGUGUGUGAGGUGGUCCCUGCAAUACUGAGCGGGGGGAGCCUGGUGGGGCGUCCCAGCUCCCCUGGAUUGGGCCAGCCUCUGCCUGUGGAAUCUGAUGAGAAAUCUCCCCCCAUUUUAAGCACGGGUCCGGGAAAUGAGAGUUCGCGUUCCGUUUGUCCCCAGAGGUUUAGUCAAAGGGCGCUCGCUUCCCUGGACGUGUUUGAAAAAUGUGUUAUUUCCAUUCGGGGAAAUGUGGAGAUUUGCCAGAGAUCAGAGCGCCACAACCCACUGGGAUCGCCGUAGGACAGGAACAGAGAUUUGGGAUGUGAGCUCUCAGCUACCGCUCCAGCACCAUGCCUGCCUGCUGCUGCCAUGCUCCCCACCAUGACGUUGAUGGACUCUAAUCCCAAUAAACUAGGACCCAAGUUCGGUUCCUAGUACCUCUAUGGUGGUUUGAAACUGUAACUCCAGUCCCAGGGAACAGGUGCCCUCAUCUGACCUCCUCCAACACCAGAAAAAUGUGUAUGGGUGUUUAGCCGGUGCACCACAUGCAUGUGCCUGGUGCCCUGGAAGCCAGAAGAGGACAGACAACUAGAGUCACAGGCAGAGCUGCUGUGUGGAUGCUGGGACUCACCCGUGGUUCGAGCUGAGACGAUUGUUACAGCUGUCACCCACCCAGCUUGCAGCAAGCAGGGCUGAAGAAAGCUCUCCCUCUGCUCCUAAACCUACACUGAUGCCCACCCAGCAGUCAUGCUUUCCCUGUGUAGAUACGGCGGUCAGGCGGCUAGACCAGCCAGCACUUACACUGUUGCCGGGAGACCCGGUGUAAUUAGGAAGGAGAAAUGAGGAGGAGAAAGAACAUCCCAUCUUUCCAGGUCUCUGGCUGACUGUCCUCUGCAUCUAGCCAAGGUGGUUUUUCAGGUUUUCUUAAAACUUGUCUGGGAAUGGUGCUGCAGGACUGCAAUCCCAGCACUGGAUGGGGGAGACGAGCACCUGAGGCUGGAGGAUAGCUCAUUGUGCGGACAUCGCUGCCUCCUGGACAAAGCUGGACGCCCCAGGGUGGACACGGGGCAGACAGACUUAACCACAGCUCUGCGGGGAGCCUUUCCCCGGGACGACGGGCUGUGUCCGCGGCUCUCCGGUGCUGCUGCUGCUGCUCCCGGGCCGCCCCGAAACGCAAAGAAAGGACGAGGCGCCCACCGAACCCGCACCCUCGCCGCGGGGCGGAGCGGGGGAGGGAGGG
Peromyscus maniculatus bairdii (prairie deer mouse) is the source of this 1888-nucleotide non-coding RNA. NCBI's taxonomy places the organism in Eukaryota, Metazoa, Chordata, Mammalia, Rodentia, Cricetidae. The record is from RefSeq and is a predicted model, not a curated record.